UACGAAGGGGGCUAGCGUUGCUCGGAAUCACUGGGCGUAAAGGGCGCGUAGGCGGCCGAUUAAGUCGGGGGUGAAAGCCUGUGGCUCAACCACAGAAUUGCCUUCGAUACUGGUUGGCUUGAGACCGGAAGAGGACAGCGGAACUGCGAGUGUAGAGGUGAAAUUCGUAGAUAUUCGCAAGAACACCAGUGGCGAAGGCGGCUCACUGGCCCGGUACUGACGCUGAGGUGCGAAAGCGUGGG
This 242-nucleotide ribosomal RNA is filed under the name uncultured bacterium. RNAcentral describes it as "partial 16S ribosomal RNA". It matches the Rfam family "Bacterial small subunit ribosomal RNA", at positions 524 to 765 of the family's 1533-position model. The record is from RNAcentral.